CCAAUCUUUUAGCGGACCUUGGCUUUGUCCAUGGUCUCGCAAAAACUCUGUAUUUAAAACCCACUCAUAAAUUAAAACAAUAAUUGUUAUUAUUAUAAUAAUUAAGA
This 107-nucleotide unclassified non-coding RNA is filed under the name uncultured Glomeraceae. RNAcentral describes it as "sequence contains ITS1". Lineage: Eukaryota; Fungi; Glomeromycota; Glomeromycetes; Glomerales; Glomeraceae. The record is from RNAcentral.